UUUUUCUUUGAGAGUGUUUGAGUGACAUCCUUGUUACUUGAAACCAGAAUCCUAACCCUUUUCAGGCUGAUGGCUGAGGACCCUGUGGCUCUGGCAGGGUGCAUCAGGAUAGGCACAACAUAGGGGCUGGGCCUGUCGAGUUUCCCAGGCUUGAAACAUCUCUGGGACUCCACUUCUCUGACUUGUCAAGGAAAGCAUCCUUGGGGCUCUGCGGUGGCUCGUGUGAAUCAGGACUAACAAUAGCAACAGCCUUACAUUCCCAUGGCACUUUAUGGUUCUGAGUCAUGUCCACCCACUUCUUUCUUUCCUGAAUAAGAGAUUAAAGAUGCAAACAAGGCAAGUCAUAGAAUCCCCAUUUCACAGACGAGGAAACGGUGAUUUCCAGAGACCAGUAACUCCUCAGAGGUAAGUGGUGACACAGCACCUUGCCUUUCACUACACCAGACUCAAAUGAGCAAAGAUACAGAAAAACUGGGCCUGUUUUAGAGCAGAUACAUUACUUCCCUUUUUUUUCUGUUAGCAUCAACCUUAUUUCAUUGUUUCCAUUUCAUUAUUUCUGUAAGGAAUGAUGAGUGAUUGUUGGUGCUUCUCAGGGAGAGGGACCUUGUCCUUGCCACCUAAGCUCCAAUUCCUCCCUGGUUUCUGGAGGUAUUUGUGCUAGUCCAUGUUUUUGAAUCACAGGAAUACUGAGAAAGAAGAACUCAGAAAAUUUCCAGCAUCAGGAGCGGAAGGAAAUCUAGAAGAAGAUUGGAAAGGUACAAAUUUGAACAUCAAUCUGCUAGAGACUCCAACAUGUGAGACAAUGGGGUAUCAUAGGUCAAACUGAGCAGCCCUGAAGGUGUCCAGAUUUUUCAUGAAGCGAGUUGCUGAUGAAACGACUCUCAGAUGCCUUCACGGUUUUACGCGGGGGGAUUCUGUCCUUCCCCUUUAAUGGGUGUGUGUCUUCAUGCCUCAGCAACACUGAGCGUUCUCCUUUCCUGUUUAUGUUUAUUUUGGAAGGAAAAUGUGUUUACAAAAUCAGUUAAAAAGUGUUAAUGAUCAGUUUCCAGAAUACUAAUGUGAAUUUAAAUUACUUUCACAUGAAUCAAGACAAAUUAAAAAAAAAAUGCCAUUUGAUCAUAAACUGUUUGAAAUUCAUGUUGUAAGUAGUGCAGCAAAUCUGGAUUUUUUUUUUAAGCACAGUUUAAAAUAACCAUUCUGCUGGUAUGAAGAAGUUCAGAGAAAAAAGUCUCUUCCCCAGAGGAAAGACAUCAACUUUGGGGCAUUUGCACAGGAGAAGGUUCUGGGUGAAUAUACCACUCACUUCCCAGAGGAAUAAUAAUGUUUCUAAUUGUUCAAAUUUGGAUUGAAGGGGAAACACAAGUGAUUUGCAUCUGUGUUGUCCACUACCAUUUCUCCAGUGUCUAGGACAGAGUUUGGCCCCUUGAAGGCACUCAAUAAUAUUUUCAGAAUAAAUGAAUGAAUAAAAUCA
This is a non-coding RNA of Ictidomys tridecemlineatus (thirteen-lined ground squirrel), 1471 nucleotides long. The record is from RefSeq and is a predicted model, not a curated record. Lineage: Eukaryota; Metazoa; Chordata; Mammalia; Rodentia; Sciuridae.